This 547-nucleotide ribosomal RNA is filed under the name uncultured bacterium. RNAcentral's name for it is "bacterial SSU rRNA". It matches the Rfam family "Bacterial small subunit ribosomal RNA", at positions 355 to 896 of the family's 1533-position model. The record is from RNAcentral.
UGGGGAAUAUUGGACAAUGGGCGAAAGCCUGAUCCAGCCAUGCCGCGUGUGUGAAGAAGGUCUUCGGAUUGUAAAGCACUUUAAGUUGGGAGGAAGGGCAGUAAGUUAAUACCUUGCUGUUUUGACGUUACCAACAGAAUAAGCACCGGCUAACUUCGUGCCAGCAGCCGCGGUAAUACGAAGGGUGCAAGCGUUAAUCGGAAUUACUGGGCGUAAAGCGCGCGUAGGUGGUUCAGCAAGUUGGAUGUGAAAUCCCCGGGCUCAACCUGGGAACUGCAUCCAAAACUACUGGGCUAGAGUACGGUAGAGGGUGGUGGAAUUUCCUGUGUAGCGGUGAAAUGCGUAGAUAUAGGAAGGAAGAACAAAUCCAANGGNGCCNCCNUACCNAUUAUACACUUAGGUGCGAAANCGUGGGGAGCCAACAGGAUUAGAUACCCUGGUAGUCCACGCCGUAAACGAUGUCGACUAGCCGUUGGGAUCCUUGAGAUCUUAGUGGCGCAGCUAACGCGAUAAGUCGACCGCCUGGGGAGUACGGCCAACAAGGUUA